GGGCGAUGUGUUAGCGAGGAGACUGAGCCCCAAAGGAGGUGGAUUGAGGGGUCCCACAUCGAUUGGAGAAGGGAAAGAGUGCUAGCAAAGACACUGGUCCUUGAAGGGGGGUGGAUUGUGAGAUCCCACAUCGGUUGAAGAGGAGAAUGAAACAUUCCUUAUAGGUUGUCUGCCACUUUUGUAUACCAAACGUAUCGUUGGAGUAAUCGUGUAGUUCCUGCGGAGUGCAAACGAUGGGGCAAUCCAGAUCAUACGAGCUUAAAAGAGAAAGGCUGCAUAGGUCCACACGGAAAGAACUGUUUCUUGAAGUGGCAUAGGCGAAGAUGGAAUGGGGAAUAUAUCACAAGUCUAAAGAAGGUACACGGAUUUUUCUCAGUAGUGGAAAAUAUUAUCACAUAAAGUUAGAAUCCAAUAGCAAUAUAACAGUUGGCAGAAUCUCUAUCUCUCUGUAAUGUGAAAGGGUCAUAUGUAUAAGUAUGUUAAUGGUGAUUAUAUUUAAUCUGAUAAUGUUUAUAAGAUUUUCAAAGCAAUGGAGAUGUUGAAAGGUGGUGGUGGUAUUAGGAGUAGAAACAUAGAGCAUUGUUUCAGUGGUGGGAGCAGCCACCCACCACUGCAUGUAUUGACACUUUUUUAACUCAUAAAGCUCAAGAAAAAGUCUGCUUCACUAAAUGUUUGGUAGUAA
Long non-coding RNA from Cucurbita maxima (winter squash), 682 nucleotides. RefSeq lists it as uncharacterized. The record is from RefSeq and is a predicted model, not a curated record. The transcript has 2 exons. NCBI's taxonomy places the organism in Eukaryota, Viridiplantae, Streptophyta, Magnoliopsida, Cucurbitales, Cucurbitaceae.